GAGCCCUCGUAAGGCUGACUCGGUGCUUUUAAAGGUUAACACGGUAGGGUAGAGUAAAUCUCCAUAAAGCGAGAGAGGAGACAGUACAAACUCCUCUCUAGGUUCCUGUCUGGAGUCACCACU
Small nucleolar RNA from Sorex araneus (European shrew), 123 nucleotides. RefSeq annotates it as small nucleolar RNA SNORA26. The transcript has a single exon. The record is from RefSeq and is a predicted model, not a curated record. Lineage: Eukaryota; Metazoa; Chordata; Mammalia; Eulipotyphla; Soricidae.